AUUGAACGCUGGCGGCAUGCCUUACACAUGCAAGUCGAACGGCAGCACGGGUGCUUGCACCUGGUGGCGAGUGGCGAACGGGUGAGUAAUACAUCGGAACAUGUCCUGUAGUGGGGGAUAGCCCGGCGAAAGCCGGAUUAAUACCGCAUACGAUCUACGGAUGAAAGCGGGGGACCUUCGGGCCUCGCGCUAUAGGGUUGGCCGAUGGCUGAUUAGCUAGUUGGUGGGGUAAAGGCCUACCAAGGCGACGAUCAGUAGCUGGUCUGAGAGGACGACCAGCCACACUGGGACUGAGACACGGCCCAGACUCCUACGGGAGGCAGCAGUGGGGAAUUUUGGACAAUGGGCGAAAGCCUGAUCCAGCAAUGCCGCGUGUGUGAAGAAGGCCUUCGGGUUGUAAAGAACUUUUGUCCGGAAAGAAAUCCUUGGCCCUAAUACGGUCGGGGGAUGACGGUACCGGAAGAAUAAGCACCGGCUAACUACGUG
RNAcentral lists this ribosomal RNA (486 nucleotides) under uncultured bacterium. RNAcentral describes it as "partial 16S ribosomal RNA". It matches the Rfam family "Bacterial small subunit ribosomal RNA", at positions 30 to 507 of the family's 1533-position model. The record is from RNAcentral.